Molecule: ribosomal RNA, 216 nt
Filed under: Glomeromycotina sp.
Lineage: Eukaryota; Fungi; Glomeromycota
Description: partial small subunit ribosomal RNA
Rfam family: Eukaryotic small subunit ribosomal RNA (bases 40-216)
Source: RNAcentral
GGGUCAGUAGGUUGGUCGUGCCACCGGUACGUACUGGUCUCACUGAUUCCUCCUUCCUGAAGAACCGUAAUGCCAUUAAUUUGGUGUUGCGGGGAAGCAGGACUGUUACUUUGAAAAAAUUAGAGUGUUUAGAGCAAGCUAACGCUUGAAUACAUUAGCAUGGAAUAAUGAAAUAGGACGAUCGAUCCUAUUUUGUUGGUUUCUAGGAUUGACGUA